GACUGAGCCACCCAGGCGCUCCCUAAAAUUGGAAUGUUACAGAGAAGAUUAGCAUGACCCCUGCCCAAAGAGUAUGAAGAAAUACAGAAUUGCUUUGUUCUUUU
Molecule: small nuclear RNA, 104 nt
Organism: Leptonychotes weddellii (Weddell seal)
Lineage: Eukaryota; Metazoa; Chordata; Mammalia; Carnivora; Phocidae
Source: RefSeq, a predicted model, not a curated record